Molecule: long non-coding RNA, 3049 nt
Organism: Esox lucius (northern pike)
Lineage: Eukaryota; Metazoa; Chordata; Actinopteri; Esociformes; Esocidae
Source: Ensembl
GUGUCAGUCAGGGCGCCCCGGUGUACAGAAGACAAUGACGUGUGCCAACGUUUACACCAGUAAUUAAACACAAGGCUGCAUGACACUGAAUCAAGAGGUUGUAAAACUGAUGCUGAAGCAUGCAUAGAAAAUGGCAUUACCAUAAUCUAUCCCUGACAUAAAACUGGCUUACACUGUUUAAUUGUCUUGCUGAGAAGACAGACGUGAUUUGAUUCUAUAAAACAGACCCAUUUUAAUCAUACAACUCUGUGUUUAUUGUUUUAACCUAAUUGGAAGGUAUUUGAAGGUAGGGACGUGUACGGACACAGAACUGUCCAAGGUAUUUAUUUCUGAGAUCAUGCUAGGACCUAGACAACGCAGUUUACUUUGUUCCUUUUGCAUUGAGUAAUAAGCUGAGAUCCACCAGUGAUUUUGAGGAAAUCUGUGAGUGUGCAAAUGCUUGUGCAAGGGAGGGAGCAGACACGUUUCGGAGGGUGUCAUCAGCAUACAAAAUGAAGUUAAAAGUGCCUCACAGAGUUACAGAUAUUGCAGUUUUUCUUUAUUUCUUGAGCACUUUUGUCCAAGUAGAAUUCACAUUUUUAAAACAGUUAACAUACAGGUCACAACUGAAACACUGCUGGCUAAAUUGACAAAUUCCCUUACCUUAAGGCAGUACUUGCAUCAAAACAUAAAUAGUAAUUUAGGUCAAUCAUUACACAUUGGCCCAAUGAAUCCUAACUCUGACUAUCAACAUAUCCUAGCAUAUUUAACCCUCUUUUUCAUGUAGGCCUAUGUCCCAUUUGUUAAUACUCCGAGUAUAGUAUAGUUAGGUCCGGAAAUAUUUGGACACUGACAGACUUUCAUCUUUAAUUCAAGGGGUUGAACAAAAAUAUUUUAUGAAACGUUUAGGAAUUGCAACCAUUUUCAUACACAGUCCCCUUAUUUCAGGGUCUCAAAUGUAAUUGGACAAAUUAACACAAUCAUAAAUAAAAAUGUUGUUGAGCAGGCAAUGACUGCUUGAAGUCUGGAACACAUGGACAUCACCAAACACUGGGUUUCUUCCUUUGUGAUGGUUUGCCAGGCCUUUACUGCUGCUAUAUUCAGUUGUUGUUUGUUCGUGGGUCUUUCUGCCUUAAGUUGUCUUCAGCAAGUGAAAUGCAUGCAUGAUCGGGUUGAGAUCAUGUGAUUGACUCUGCCAUUGCAGAAUAUUCCACUUCUUUGCCUUAAAAAACAACUGGGUUGCUUUUGCAGUAUGUUUUGGGUCAUUGUCCAUCUGUAGAGUGAAGCGCCAUCCAACCAACUUCGCUGAAUCUGAGCUGACAAUAUAUCUCUAUUCCCUUCAGAAUUAAUCUGGCUGCUUCUGUCACAUCUUCAAUAAACACUAGUGACCCAGUGCCAUUGGAAGCCAUGCCAUCACACUGCCUCCACCGUGUUUUACAGAUGAUGUGACAAAGGACAACUGGACCUUCUGGAUAUAAAUCCCUCCUUCAAAUCAUUCAGAAAGAGCACAGACUGAAACAUGCCCAAAGUUCCUCCAUUCCCAGAGCUGCCAAACUCCCACCUCAAAAAAUAUCUACUGAUCAGUCAACUCCAUUGGGGAUAACGGAUACGUUCCACUGAUUUGACAAAAAAAAGGUUUAACACUUGGACCGAUGAGAGAACAAAUGUAUCACACAAAUGUAGAAGUCCGCAGCCUAGAUAUUCCAACCAGUUGGUAACCACCUACACAUCUAAAAGCUCAGAACUACUGUACUAGGUAUCUUUAAGAAACAUUGGAAUAUUUUAGACUCAGAUCAAGCCUUAGAAAACACAUUUCAAUGUCAGUACACCAAGUGCAUUUAAAGGGUUUUCCCUUCCCAGUCCGGGCCAAGACAUAACUAUCAAAAAUAGCAUUCAUUGCAAUUCUCAUGAUGUCAUCCGUUAAACGCUGCCCUUGUGGCUUGUUUUAUGUUGGAGUGACUAGAAUACGUGAGCACAGUAGUUCCAACUGACGUGUAGAGGUUAGUUGCCCAGUGUCCCUUCACUUAAAAGAACGGGGCCACUCACAAUGCAAAUUCUUCAGCAGAAACAACCACAGAGAUGAUAUUGAUAAAUACCAAAGAAAUGAUUGAACUGAAUUUUCUUUUUACAAUCCGAUGUCUAAAUCACCUUACGGAAUUGAUAACUAUAAACAUGUUUUGUCAGAUAAGAAGACUAGUUCCAAUUAAAUAAAGAUUUCAUGCCAAACACUAAAAACAUCUAGAAUUGAGGUUCACAUACUUUCGAGCAGCACUGAACGUUUCUUUGUAAUUUGUUUUUAUUAACCAAUAUACACCUCUGGAAAAAAUUAAGAGACCACCACAACUUUUUCUUUCCUUUCCAAAAAAGCUGAAAAAGAAGGUUUUGAGUGAGGAACAGAAGGGUUAAAAUUAAGAGACCACUACAAAUUGAACGCUUCUGUUCCUCACUCAAAACCUUCCUUUUCAACUGUUUUGGAAAGGAAAGAAAAAGGUGCAUUGGUCUCUUAAUGUAUUCCGGACAUGUAUUAACCAGCCCCACUGGUUUAUAUAUUAAAUACGCCGAAGACUGAUAAUACACAGUAACUGUCUACUACUCCCCUUAACAAGACAACUAAGGUGUUGGUCAUCGCUAACCUAACUAUGUUUUUCAUUACCAUAAAAUGUUUGUUUGUUGUCUUUGUAUGACUGAUGAGGGCCACUAAAGUUUAAAACAUUUGCCAUAAUAAAACGUCUACAUUUUAAAUGGGGAGAGCUUUUAAAAUGUUGAUGUUUUAUUUGAUUUUGCGUCUGAACAUGGAAUCAUGUUGGUAGAGUGCUCUCCACUCUUUUCAUACUGUUCUAGAUAUUUCAAUACAUUAUGUUUAGAAAAGCAUGUUGUGUCACUAUCUGACAACUGUGUACUUCCUGGUAGUCAACAGUAAUUAAAUGGACAGAAGAGAGCCAAUUAGCUAAUGACCAGUAGAAACAAUACAUUCAAUUCCUUGGUGACCCACUGCAGAGACAAAAACAAGGUUAAAACACUGGUUGCAUAGACGCCAACUCUUUCUCUCCAACUCUCUCGACCAAAGUGC